This 445-nucleotide ribosomal RNA is filed under the name uncultured bacterium. RNAcentral's name for it is "partial 16S ribosomal RNA". It matches the Rfam family "Bacterial small subunit ribosomal RNA", at positions 354 to 796 of the family's 1533-position model. The record is from RNAcentral.
GUGAGGAAUAUUGCGCAAUGGAGGCAACUCUGACGCAGCCAUGCCGCGUGCAGGAAGAAGGCGCUACGCGUUGUAAACUGCUUUUAACCGGGAAGAAACCCCAGGACGUGUCCUGGGUUGACGGUACCGGAGGAAUAAGCACCGGCUAACUUCGUGCCAGCAGCCGCGGUAAUACGAAGGGUGCAAGCGUUAUCCGGAUUCAUUGGGUUUAAAGGGUGCGUAGGCGGAGCGUUAAGUCAGUGGUGAAAUCCUGCAGCUUAACUGUAGACUUGGCAUUGAUACUGGCGCUCUUGAGUGCGCUUGAAGUGGGCGGAAUGUGCCGUGUAGCGGUGAAAUGCUUAGAUAUGGCACAGAACACCAAUUGCGAAGGCAGCUCACUAAGGCGAUACUGACGCUGAGGCACGAAAGCGUGGGGAUCGAACAGGAUUAGAAACCCCUGUAGUCC